GCAUCCAGAUUGUACGAAUAGGCUAGCUGUCAAACCGAUCAGCCUAUGCUUCUCGUGUGUGGAUAUGUGCGUCGCCACGAGUGUGUGUGUCGACAUGUUGUCAUCGUAUAUUUGCCUUGUGUGGUUUUGUACCUAGCGUGAUUUGGUGUCCAAAACUACAUAAACAUUCUGCAAUCGUUGUGAACAAUCUGGUUUGGUUAGUGUUUUUUGAAACAAAAUAUAUGAAAAUGAAACGUAACUCUUCGCAUUUUCAUAAAUUAGGUGUUACGGGUCAACUGUACAAAAUGUCGGCUCGAAGGGAAGCUUUGGAAAAGUCUGCUGAACAAGAAUCCGAAAAUGCUGACCCUGAUUCUACGGUUGAUUGUUUACAUACAACCAUACAGAAGACACAGAAGACAAUCAAACAAUCGAUGUUGUUCCGAUUAUUGAAACACCGGAUCGUUAUACCGACAACACGUUUGAAGCAUCGUAUCUCGACGAAGACAAUGAUUGGCUGAGUCAAGCUGAUUAUGAAGGCAAUGAUGAUCAAGACGAUGAUGAUGAUGAAGAGAAAAUAUCAUCCGGUGGAGUGUCUCAGUUUCGGAACGUGGAAUUGAAAGAAGCUUUGCAGUAUAGGGCGCUCACUACAUAAUAAUCGCGAUCAGCGGUAAACAUGAUGCUCGAAUACUUUCAUGAGCUUGCCAUCUACAAACAUUUACCGAAAGAUGCACGGACAGUGUUGUAGAUUUCACGAACACCUUUGGAUAUCAAUGCAAUUGAAGGUGGCAGAUAUUUCUACAAUAGAGUAAGACUUUGCUUGGUAAGUCGCCUUGAGUGAAUUUUGUUGGCCAUAAACGGCUGCACGAUCAACGGCUGCACAGCACAGUAGUUAGUGUGACCUUGCGCGCAUUUAUAUGCAAUGUCCUGGCAAGAGCUUACUAUAAAGGUAAGUUGUUUCGUUGCUUUAUUUAACUUACAGCAUAAUUAUUGUUGAAUCAUAUUUCUAAUUUUAGGUGUCAUGUAUUUCAACGCAAAACAUGGAUGUUUGAAAUGUUGCACCGUCGGCAAACACAGCUCUAAGAAUAGAUAGAAGAUAUUGUGGUAGCAGAUCGCCUGCAUCUAUGUCUCGUUUAUAAAGAAAUUGUUAAUAUUAUUAAAAACAAGCGUAUUUAUUAAAAUGUUGUGAAAGAAAUUAACUCAAGAAUAUGUUGUAAACUGUAAGUCUAAUUUCAUUUUAUUUUAAAGCAUGCAGAAUAGGAACGAAUAGCAUUUGUCCCUGUUCCUGUGAAGGGAAACAGAUUCUGCGGCUUGCCCUUGUGUCCAUCCUUUUGGAAUAUUGACGGU
Molecule: RNA transcript, 1323 nt
Organism: Anopheles funestus (African malaria mosquito)
Lineage: Eukaryota; Metazoa; Arthropoda; Insecta; Diptera; Culicidae
Exons: 2
Source: RefSeq, a predicted model, not a curated record